Molecule: ribosomal RNA, 292 nt
Filed under: uncultured bacterium
Lineage: Bacteria
Description: partial 16S ribosomal RNA
Source: RNAcentral
GGACUACCGGGGUAUCUAAUCCUGUUUGCUACCCACGCUUUCGUGCCUCAGCGUCAGUUCUAUACCAGGGGGCUGCCUUCGCCAUCGGUAUUCCUCCAAAUCUCUACGCAUUUCACUGCUACACUUGGAAUUCUACCCCCCUCUUACAAACUCUAGACAUACAGUCUUAAAUGCACGACCAAGGUUAAGCCCUGGCUUUUCACAUCUAACUUAUAUAUCCGCCUACGCACCCUUUACGCCCAAUAAUUCCGAUUAACGCUCGCACCCUACGUAUUACCGCGGCUGCUGGCAC